RNAcentral lists this ribosomal RNA (463 nucleotides) under uncultured bacterium. Its description in RNAcentral is "partial 16S ribosomal RNA". It matches the Rfam family "Bacterial small subunit ribosomal RNA", at positions 28 to 507 of the family's 1533-position model. The record is from RNAcentral.
GAUGAACGCUGGCGGCGUGCUUAACACAUGCAAGUCGAACGGAAAGGCCGAAGCUUGCUUGGGUACUCGAGUGGCGAACGGGUGAGUAACACGUGGGUGAUCUGCCCUGCACUUCGGGAUAAGCCUGGGAAAGUGGGACUAAUACCGGAGAGGAGAACGUCGUAGUUGUUGUGGUGGAAAGUUUAUGCGGUGUGGUAUGGGCUCGCGGCCUAUCAGCUUGUUGGUGGGGUAAUGGCCUACCAAAGCGUCUACGGGAAGCCGGUCUGAGAGGGAGUACGGCCACACUGGUACGGAGAUACGGACCGGGCUACUUCGGGAGGCAGCAGUAGGGAAUAUUGCACAAUGCGGCGUGUCCUGAUGCAGCGACGCCGCGGUGGAGAUGUCGGCCUUGGGGUUGUAAACUCCUUGCGCAAAAGACGAUUUUAUGACGGUACUUGGAGAAGAAGCACCGGCUAACUACGUG